GACGAACGCUGGCGGCGUGCUUAACACAUGCAAGUCGAACGGAAAGGCCCUGCUUUUGUGGGGUGCUCGAGUGGCGAAAGGGUGAGUAACACGUGAGUAACCUGCCCUUGACUUUGGGAUAACUUCAGGAAACUGGGGCUAAUACCGGAUAGGAGCUCCUGCUGCAUGGUGGGGGUUGGAAAGUUUCGGCGGUUGGGGAUGGACUCGCGGCUUAUCAGCUUGUUGGCAGGGUGGUGGCUUACCAAGGCUUUGACGGGGAGCCGACGUGAGAGGGUGACCGGACACACAGGAACUGAGACAAGGUCGAGAUGCAUACGAGAGGAAGCAGUAGGGAAUGUGCCACAAGGGGGGGAAGCCUGACGGAGCAACGUGGCGUGAGUGAAGAUGGUCGGCGGAGCGGAAAAAGGUGGUAGUAGGGAAGAAAAAAUGUGUAAGGAACUAUGCAGGGCUUGACGUGACCUAGUAAGAAAGCCACGGCUAACUCCGUG
RNAcentral lists this ribosomal RNA (488 nucleotides) under uncultured bacterium. RNAcentral's name for it is "partial 16S ribosomal RNA". It matches the Rfam family "Bacterial small subunit ribosomal RNA", at positions 28 to 507 of the family's 1533-position model. The record is from RNAcentral.